GAUGAACGCUGGCGGCGUGCUUAAUACAUGCAAGUCGAGCGAAGCACUUUUAACGGAAUUCUCCGGAAGGAAGGUAAAGUGACUGAGCGGGCGACGGGUGAGUAACGCGUGGGUAACCUGCCUUAUACAGGGGGAUAACAGUUAGAAAUGGCUGCUAAUACCGCAUAAGCGCACAGGGCCGCAUGGCCCGGUGUGAAAAACUCCGGUGGUAUAAGAUGGACCCGCGUCUGAUUAGCUGGUUGGUGGGGUAACGGCCCACCAAGGCGACGAUCAGUAGCCGGCCUGAGAGGGUGAACGGCCACAUUGGGACUGAGACACGGCCCAG
RNAcentral lists this ribosomal RNA (325 nucleotides) under uncultured bacterium. RNAcentral's name for it is "bacterial SSU rRNA". It matches the Rfam family "Bacterial small subunit ribosomal RNA", at positions 28 to 334 of the family's 1533-position model. The record is from RNAcentral.